Long non-coding RNA from Cucurbita maxima (winter squash), 222 nucleotides. RefSeq lists it as uncharacterized. The transcript has 2 exons. Lineage: Eukaryota; Viridiplantae; Streptophyta; Magnoliopsida; Cucurbitales; Cucurbitaceae. The record is from RefSeq and is a predicted model, not a curated record.
CAGUAGCCUAUAAGCUAUAAUUAGGGGCAGAAAGCUAGAACCCAGAUGAGAUUUUUGCCAAAAAAGUAGUGAAGAAAGAACUUUUGUACCAUUAGGGGCAGAAAUCUGUUCUUAUUUAUUGUUACUUGUGUAUGGUACACAGGGCAUCAAAGUUAGAAACCAAAACAAGAAAUCAGAUGAGAACUUUAUGCUAAUUUCGCCAAGCAGAUCCACAGUUGAGAA